This is a long non-coding RNA of Apis cerana (Asiatic honeybee), 1868 nucleotides long. RefSeq lists it as uncharacterized. The record is from RefSeq and is a predicted model, not a curated record. NCBI's taxonomy places the organism in Eukaryota, Metazoa, Arthropoda, Insecta, Hymenoptera, Apidae.
UUAAAUUUAUCAAUUAUUGCUAAUUUAGUUUUUUAAAUAAUCUAUUCGGUGUAGUGAGAACGAAAUUAAUUAGUCUUUUGUGUUUCUUUGUAUCUUUUUUUUUCGAUUGUUCAUUUAUCUGUUGCGUCAUUAGUAGCGUCGCGUAUCGAAAUAUUUCGAGAAUUUGAAAUCAUAUAUUGGUUUUUUGUAAUAUAAUUUUUAAUCAUAUACAUUUAUUGUACGUUUUUGAUCUUUAUUUUUUAUCAUUUUAGUCGUAUUAAAAUAAAAGAAAUUUUUUAUGAUUCGUUAUGAAUUCAUUUCGUGAAAUCGAAUUAUUCAAGUGACACAUAUUUUUGCGAAUGUAUAUAUAUUGUAUGCAACGUCUCGCGUGUAUGUUAUUGUUUUCUUUUUUUGGUCUAUCGUUUAUAUUUUGCUCGAGGCUAGAAACAUAUCUUAUGUUUAUAUUCGAUCGUAUCCAAGAAAUUAGAUUCGUGUUCAAACAUGUUUUGACUUGUCGAACGUAUCCCCUCUCCAUUUUGUUAUUAUUCGAUGCGCAAAGUCGAAUCGCGCAGUAAAGUGACAUUGUUCGUUGAUUCGUCGUGGCAAUUAGACGUUUGAAAUUUUCUCGAGACGUGUGUUCUAUUUAAUGCGUAGUAUUUUAAUAUUAUUUUUUAUAUAGUUAUUUUUUUUAUAUAUAGUUAUUUAUUUGUGCGUCUUUAUUUAAUUAAUACAUCUUUAUUCAAUAUUUUAUUAUUUCGCGCGGUUUUUAAUUGAAGAAAUAAGUAUCAUGCGCCAACCAAUCAGAACGUCGCUUAAUUCGAAACGCAAGACGAAUCAGUGCGCAUCAUAGUGCGCAUGGCGUUAGUCUACAGUUGAAAAUUGUGACAAGAAGACGGAUCAUCGCAAAUUCGGAUUACGCAGUUUAAUUGGUAGCAUCUUGAUAGCUUUCAAAAGGCGGGAAAAAUCCCAAUAUGGACGCCAUGUCUUUCUUGAUGAUGUGGUAAAAUUUUAUAUUUCAAAAUAUUUGUGAUCGCGCGCAAUGCGAUUAAUAGAAUCAGUGUUUGUUUCGUCAUAGUAUUUUUAAUAUUUUUUAGAGCACAAUAGCUCUGAUCAAAUUUAAUUAAAAUAAUCACACGCGAAGAUAGAAUCAGUGUUUGUUCGCCGAUUAUAAUUUAUACGGACGCGUUAUUAAUUUCUUAUUUUUAUUUUUUUUUUUUUUUACAAAUAUUCGUUUUCGGUACAGGAUAGAAUCAGUGCUUCUCUCAAGAGAAUACGGCGAUCAUCCACCACGCGAAGAGAUGCUGAUGAGCUUUAUGAAGAUUUUUCUUGAACUUUAAAAAAUAUUUGUGACCACGCGCAAUGUGGUUAUUAGAAUCAGUGUUUGAUUCGUAACAAUAUUUUAAAUAGAUUUUUAGAGGACAAUAGUUUUAAUUAAGUUAAGCUUUAAUUAUAAUAGUUAUACGCGAAAUUAGAAUCAGUGCUUGUUCGCCGACUACAGAAUAUAUACGAACGCGUUAAUAGUUUCUUAUUUUUAUUUUUUUAUUUUAAAUAUUCGUUUUCGGUACAGAGUAGAGUCAGUGCUUCUCUCAAGAGUAUAAGGUGAUCAUCCAUCACGCGAAGAGAUUUCUUCCAUUCUUCUACCUGAUGGCAGCCUUAUUCUCGAUGACUUCUGGGCCACAAUAAGAGAAGUGAAGGCGUUCGUCGCAUCAUAUGGUGAGUCGCAUGCUUUUUGGUUCCUCCGAUCACUCAACCAUGUCGUAGGAUGAAAGAUCCGAAUCGACACGAGUGACUGGUUGUAUACGUAGAAUUUUACACGAGCACAAUGACCGCGAAUAUUUAUUUAUAAUAUUCGUGAGUAGUAACAAUUUUUUUUUUUGUUUUUUAUUAGU